This 280-nucleotide long non-coding RNA is filed under the name Trifolium pratense (red clover). RNAcentral describes it as "long non-coding RNA (TPRA_LNC005366)". The record is from RNAcentral. Lineage: Eukaryota; Viridiplantae; Streptophyta; Magnoliopsida; Fabales; Fabaceae.
UUAAAGAUAAACAUGCAAAUCAAAGAUAACACUAAGUUGAUGAUAAAUUAAAACAUAUAUAACAUGAUUAAGAGUUGUACAUAUUUAUGAAUGAGCUACCCCUAAUCCCAACAACAAAAGAUUUAGCCACUCAUUGUCAUGGUGGUAAACUUACAAAUGUGGAAAGAGGAACAAAGAGUGCACAUCAAUCCCUUGAUCUCUCAAGUUGGAUGGAUCCACCUUCUCUUGCCUAUGACCUAAGCUUAAUUCUAAUUUAAUUGCUCUGUCUUUGAACUCUCUC